AGAGUUUGAUCAUGGCUCAGGACGAACGCUGGCGGCGUGCUUAACACAUGCAAGUCGAGCGGAAAGGCCCUUCGGGGUACUCGAGCGGCGAACGGGUGAGUAACACGUGAGCAACCUGCCCCUGACUCUGGGAUAAGCCUGGGAAACCGGGUCUAAUACCGGAUACGACCGCCUCCGGCAUCGGAUGGUGGUGGAAAGAAUUUUGGUCGGGGAUGGGCUCGCGGCCUAUCAGCUUGUUGGUGGGGUAGUGGCCUACCAAGGCGACGACGGGUAGCCGGCCUGAGAGGGCGACCGGCCACACUGGGACUGAGACAC
Molecule: ribosomal RNA, 315 nt
Filed under: uncultured bacterium
Lineage: Bacteria
Description: bacterial SSU rRNA
Rfam family: Bacterial small subunit ribosomal RNA
Source: RNAcentral